This 1289-nucleotide ribosomal RNA is filed under the name metagenome. RNAcentral describes it as "SSU rRNA". It matches the Rfam family "Eukaryotic small subunit ribosomal RNA", at positions 137 to 1423 of the family's 1831-position model. The record is from RNAcentral.
ACUUGGAUAACCGUAGUAAUUCUAGAGCUAAUACAUGCAAAAAAUCCGGACCUUUUAGGGAUGGAUGAAUUUAUUAGAUUAGAACCAGCGCAAAGUCUUUUGGCUUUGAGUUAUGGUGAUUCAUAAUAACUAAUCGAAUCGCAGAGACUUUUAGUCGGCGAUGAUACAUACAAAUUUCUGCCCUAUCAACUUUCGAUGGUAGUAUAGAGGACUACCAUGGUUGUAACGGGUAACGGGGAAUUAGGGUUCGAUUCCGGAGAGGGGGCCUGAGAGAUGGCCACCACUUCCAAGGAAGGCAGCAGGCGCGCAAAUUACCCAAUCCCAAUUCGGGGAGGUAGUGACAAGAAAUACCAGUACAGGGCCCAAUGGGUACUGUGAUUGGAAUGAAUACAAUUUAAAAAUCUUAAUGAGGAACGAUUGGAGGGCAAGUCUGGUGCCAGCAGCCGCGGUAAUUCCAGCUCCAAUAGUGUAUAUUAAAGUUGCUGCAGUUAAAAAGCUCGUAGUUGGAUUUCGGAUAAUAAAAAUUUAAUAUCCAUCCUUAAAAUGUGAUUUAAUUUUUAUUUCCUUCCUUUUGAAUACACUCCCUAAACUUUUUUAGGGAAUCAAGUGUUUCAAAUCGUUUACUGUGAAGAAAUUAGAGUGUUCAAAGCAGGCGUAACCUAGCCUUUGAAUAUAUUAGCAUGGGAUAAUGAAAUAGGACUUUAGUCCUACUUUCGUUGGUUUCUAGGGCUGAAGUAAUGAUUAAUAGGGAUAGUUGGGGUCACUAGUAUUUAAUUGUCAGAGGUGAAAUUCUAAGAUUUAUUAAAGACUAACUACUGCGAAAGCAUUUGACAAGGAUGUUUUCAUUAAUCAAGAACGAAAGUUGGGGGAUCGAAGAUGAUCAGAUACCGUCGUAGUCUCAACCAUAAACUAUGCCGACCAAGGAUCCGGGGUUGUUAAUAUGGAUGACUCUCCGGGCACUUAUAGAGAAAUCAUAAGUAUUUGGGCUCCGGGGGGAGUAUGGUCGCAAGGCUGAAACUUAAAGGAAUUGACGGAAGGGCACCACAAGGAGUGGAACCUGCGGUUUAAUUUGACCCAACACGGGGAAACUUACCAGGUCCAGACACAGUGAGGAUUGACAGAUUGAGAGUUCUUUCUUGAUUCUGUGAGUGGUGGUGCAUGGCCGUUUCUAGUUGGUGGAGUGAUUUGUCUGGUUAAUUCCGUUAACGAACGAGACCUUAACCUAUUAAAUAGUUGUUUGAACUUGAUUUUUUAAAUCAAAUGUUCAAUUAACUUCUUAGAGGGACUCU